GAUUUCAGAUUAAUCAUGUAGAGAAAUACAGGAAAUAAAAGGAACACAGAAUUUCAAUAACAAAAUUGAUCAAUUGAUUCAAAGAGAUCACUUUCCAAAGGUUUUUGGUGGUUUUUCUAAGAACAAAGAUAAUCCCUUCUUGGUGGCUUACAGAGUAUUAAAACAUAGGUUUUCAGAAUAAAAAGCGUGCAUAAUAAAAUGACAAAAAGGCCCUUGAGAAAACAUGAAUUCGAGCAUAUAGGCGACGCGCAGCGACCUCGGCAAGUCGCUCCAGCACGUCGCUCUGGGCUUCGGGAGCGACCUCAGGGUGUCGCUGCGAGAGGUCGCUCCGGCUUCAGUUUUGAGCUCUGUUUCGUCAAAAGAGCGAGCGACUUCAGGACGUCGCUCCAACGUGGUCGCUCCGAGAGGUAAGGCACAGCGACUUCAUCGUGUCGCUGCGGUUAGGUCGCUCCGGUGGGUUGCUCGUCCGCUGAUCACUUUAAACACUUCUUUUGAGCUCCAAAUGCACCCAAACGUCUCCAAGAACUCCAUGUGAUACUCCAAUACCUGAUAAGGACUCAUGUAUGCAAAAUGCAACCUAAACAUGACUAAAUCCUAAUCUAUAUGAUCAAAAUGCAUAUGGAUGGAUGGAUAAAACAAUGGAAAUAUGCAUGAUAU
Long non-coding RNA from Brassica rapa (field mustard), 657 nucleotides. RefSeq lists it as uncharacterized. Lineage: Eukaryota; Viridiplantae; Streptophyta; Magnoliopsida; Brassicales; Brassicaceae. The record is from RefSeq and is a predicted model, not a curated record.